GGUAAGAUGGCCGAGUGUUCAAGCGGCGGGCUGUAGACCCGUAAACAGAGGCUCAACUCCUCUUCUUAUCA
Molecule: transfer RNA, 71 nt
Filed under: Muraenesox cinereus (daggertooth pike conger)
Lineage: Eukaryota; Metazoa; Chordata; Actinopteri; Anguilliformes; Muraenesocidae
Description: tRNA-Tyr
Rfam family: tRNA
About the family: Transfer RNA (tRNA) molecules are approximately 80 nucleotides in length.
Source: RNAcentral